UAUAAACAUACACGUACACACGCACGGAUACGAUAAGAUAAUUUUUAAUAGACAUUGUACGUAUUAGUUUUACGUAUAAGUAAAUUUAUUUCUUUAAUACGUGAUUUAACAGUAAGAAAGAGAUAAAUAGAUAGAUCGAUAAAGAGGGACAGAGAGAGAGAGAGAGAGAGAGAGAAAGAGAAAGGGAGAGAUUAUCACUUGCAAAGUAUAUAAAUAAAACAAAGUAAUUCUCAAUCGUCUACGUUAACCUUGGUUGUCGAAUUCCAAGAAAUUCGUCCUUUAACGAAGUACGUAAAUAAAAUACAAAGGUACGUUCAGUUCGUGUAAGCGAAUAAGAAAGGAAGGUGACUUUCUUCUAUCAGUUUAAUGUAAGCUACUCUACGUGAAACAACUCACGGCACGUUCGCGAAACGGAUAAGGAAUAAUUUUCACGAUAAAAUUUUGCUCGAUAAUUACUUCUGACUGAGACAGGAAAGUUCCAAGGUGGUGCAUUUAUAUCGAUGCCUCGACUCAAGAGUCGGUACGAUGAUACCAAUGGCCAAGCUCGAGUCCUUCUCGUGGUAACACACAACCGCGUCGCAUUCCUUUCCGUCUGUAAAUGCACAUGAGAGACGGGUCACGGAGUUUUUGGCAUCAGGAAGUUCCACUUUACCGAGAUAAGCUUCGCAGAAGAGUCUCGCAGAGCCACCCAAAGGAACCAAUUGCGAUGCCGGCCUGUAAGUGGGCAAUGGCUUUCCCGUGUAACCACCUGACUCUUCUCCUGAAAGCAAACGAGAAGAGGAUGCAAACACGAACAUCGAACGGGACAUAUACGAGAUCGCACGUGUCUGUCUAUCUUUUUCUAACUGUUACGAUACUACCAAGGAGUAGUAACUGCAACGCAGAGUGCAAAGGCAAUGACAAAAGCAGCAAAAGCAUUAAAAGCAACAGCAACAGAAACAGCAACAGCAACAGCACCAGCAGAAGCACCAGCACCAACAGCAGCAGGAGCAGCAACAGCAACAGGAUGCAGACGUGAAUGUACGAUUUGUACGUGUUCAGAAAGAGGAAGAAAGAGAAUGGGAGAGAGAGAGAGAGAGAGAGAGAGAGAGAGAGAGAGAGAGAGAGAAACAGAGUUCAAGCCAGCUGUGAGAGAAUCCGUUGCAAGUCUCUCCUCGUAUACGCUUUGGAAGGUGCGAUUGUACUUCUUCCGCGACACGACCGGUUGCUUUGUAAAGUAACCUUCCACAUUCGAGAAUACCUUUUUAACGACAACCUCUCUCUACGUUCAACUUACGUGUAUUCGUCGAAUUUAUAUACUAUUUGUCUAUAUGUAUUUAUCAAUGUGUGUGUGUGUGUGUAUUAUGUUAACUGAAUGAUCACUCAGAAGACUUUACGAAACUUUUCCGAUCUACACGAUAAAGUAGAAAUAGACAACAUCGUUGAUCUUAUUAGAUAAGGAGAAAACGAUUAAGUUGUAAAGAACGAUAUAUAUUUCGUAGUAUUUGUUUUUCUUUUUCUUUUUUUUUCUCCUUCUCUCUCUCUCUCUCUCUCUCUCUCUUUCGUUUCUUUUCUUUUCUUGUCUUGUCUCUUCUCUUUUUCUUUCUCUCUUUCCUUUCUUUUCAUGUUCUUUCUAUUCUUAUAUUUUCUCUCCUACACGAAUUCGUGUCCAA
Molecule: long non-coding RNA, 1652 nt
Organism: Vespa crabro (European hornet)
Lineage: Eukaryota; Metazoa; Arthropoda; Insecta; Hymenoptera; Vespidae
Exons: 4
Source: RefSeq, a predicted model, not a curated record